AUACAUAUAAUCUGUUGGAAUCAGAGUGAAUCCAAGCUCUUCCCAGUUUACAUUUGCGUACUUCUCAUCUGCUUCACUGUUUUAAAUACAACGCAUUACAAUACCAAAAAGAACCCCAAAUGAUUAAAAUGAUUUUGAAUAAAUAGAAAACUGGCGAAUAGGGAAAAUCAACACGAUAAAGCCAUAUGAGCAAUACAUAUUACGAGAAAUAAAUGUUUAUUUUCAUUUGACGUUUCAAUUUUUUUAUAAUAAGAUGGUAUUUUUAACCUUGUAAGACAAGAUGAUGAUGAAGGGUGCACAGUCGGAACCAUUGGAUAGAGUAAAACAAAGAAAUAAAGAAAGAAAAUGGUUUGAACUUUGGACAGAUGAUGUAUUUUGAAGAAGGCUUAUCUCGCCUCCUUUUAUAAGGAUAAUAACAACAAACUAACCCUUCGAAAGUUCGAAUUCAAUCGGUCACAACAGGUCUUACUUAUUCCUCUCUCCGUUUCAUAUUAAGUGUCAUUUUAGAGAAUUUUUUUCCUUACAAAAUAAAUGUCGUUUUUCGAUUUUCAAUGCAAAGUUUAUUAAUUUUAUGCAAAAUUUAAUUUUCUAUUGAUUGAAACAUGGUUAGGUGUAUAGGUAAUAGUGUUUUUUAUAGGAAAUGUAUAAAAUUAAUUGUUUCCUUAAUCCGUGUGUCGAAACCUAAAACGACACUUGUAAUGAAACAGAAGAAUUUUUAUGUUAAUUAAAUAACUUUGGAAUCUCCACCUAAUUUAGCAUUUGAAAACACUAAAAGCUUAGUUGAUAUAAAAACGUUAAGGUAUAAUAUUUAAUUAUGUAUAAAUGUAUCGUAUAUUAUAGGAUUGGUUAAUUUAAAAUGAGCAAGGUUAAUCAUAUACUUUCCCACAAUGAUUGAGUUGCCUCCGCAAACGAUCGGACUACAUACCUUUUAUUUAUUUAGAGCGUAUUCCAAGAAAAUUAAAGAAUAGGAGUUUAUAUAUCUAUAUAUAUAAUAGCAAACCAAAUUUUGUUCUCGACAGUAUUUUUUUUUUAUAGGAAAAAAAAAAUUAACAUCCAAUGGUAGAGUUUUUCUUGAAAAUAUAAUCUAAUGGUUUAGAUUUUGUUUAAGAUUAGACUAUGACGUCAUUGGUUUACUUAACCAAUCGACGUCUUCCUUACAUGUCACAACUAUACAAAGGCAUCUCUUAACCCGUAAGAGUCACGUCUUUUCAGUAUUAUAUAUUGAAGGAGUUGUAUAGGUUGUUUGAUUUAUUUGAGGGUUCUCCCAUUAUUUCCUUUGUUUCUUACUUCUCUUUCUGGACUUUUGAUUUUUCUGUUGUUGCAAUCCUUUGGGACCAUCUUAUUUUCUCUACUCUGGCUCUGUCUGGCUCUGUUGAGUUUCUGUAUUUUCCGAUCUAUUUCUCUACUAAUACCGUUAGAUGAGUUUCUUGUGAGUCUACGGCCGCUAAACCACAAUUCAAUACAAGUCAUUCAUUCGCUCUAUCAUAACAGCGAGAAGGUACUUUGGCUGAUGGUAAUACUUCCUCUGUUUUUUAUGUUCACUGGUAACGCUUCUUAUACAUCAUCUGAUACUGUCCGUUGGAUCCACAAUUAAGAUCUCAAUCAUUCGCUCUACACAGAUAGUUUCCGACUUGAUUAAAGUAAUUACAGUAAGAAUACUUUCGCUUAGAUGUUUGUUGGUAGCGCUGCAUAAUCAUUGUUUGAUUAGACUAUGUAUGAUCCACGAUUAAGAAUCUUUGUAAAAUUACACUAUUAGACUUUGAAAAGAGUUUGAUGUUCUUCUCAGACACUUUCAUCGUCUUUGUUGAGAAAUUAUCCAGUGGUUGUUUUAUUUUAAGAGAUACAACUCCUUUUGAAUGGUUAGGAAUGCGUGAAAAGAGAUAGAGGAAUUGUGUUUUUUUUGGGUGGCCAACGAUCAAUCAUCAACUCACUUCAUUUUUUUUCUUGCUAUCUAUAUUAUUAAAGCAGAAUCCUAUUGUCCUUUUUACUUAGUGUAGUGUGCUCUUUCUUUACUAACAUUACAUGUUUCAUUAAGGGCAAUCAAGUAAUAUUAAUAACACAUCUAUAUUGAGCCAUUUUUUCGGAUCCAGCCCACUGUCCACAUCAGAUCUCUCUUGGGCCUUUUGGGCCGAUUAAGAAAUCAGAUCAAAUUCUCAUUUUUUUCCAUUGGGUCAUUGAAUCCAAGUUCAAAUAAUUUUUUUUCAACCAUUCUUAAUUAUUAUUUUUUUCUUAUCUUAAUAUAAUUUAAGCAUUCAUAAAAAAAUUGAAUUUUUUCAUUGAAAAGUAUAAAUCUUUAUUAAAAGUAUAUAAUUUUUUUAUUAAAAAUAUUAACCACACAAUAAAAUUAAUUUAUUAAAGUUAUACCAACUUAAUUCAUUAAAGAAAAAAGUUUAAUUUUUUAAACAUAAAUAGUCAUUUAAAAUGAAACACGAUAAAGAAAGAUAAAAAGUUUAAGUCUUUUAUAAAAUAAAACACAAAUAUAUAAAAUAUGACAUUUACUAAAUAUUUGUCAAUUGAAAAAAAAAAAAAGAAUCCGCGCUUUGAAAGCGCGGGUCAAAAUCUAGUUUAGAGAUUAUGACUUCAACUCCUUUUUUUUUCUUAAAUUGUAUUUGUUACAUCGCAAUUGUAAUUGAGUUUUUUGUUGUAUGUUAUUAAGGUGUGUGUAAGAGUCCUGACUUUACAUUGGAUAGUUUUAUCUCUAUUCCAAAAGUCACAAUGUUUAGCAAGUAUUGUCAAACCUAUACAACCGAAUGUGUGUUGUCUUAAUAAAUUAAUAAGUUUCAGUAAUACUCUGUUUUUCUUCCAUAGAAACAGAGCACGUCGAUUAUAAACGUAAUCUAUAUUCUUUCUAUUUCACAAGUAAAACGUUUGUUCUGUUUACAUAUGUGAUUGUAUGUGAUUCCAAAUUCUAUUGUUGGCCUUUUUCUCUUUUGAAACUUGUAAGCAUAAUUAAAUUAUAAAUUGGGAAAAAUUGUUGACAAAGGCCCAUUAGUUUUGAAAGAGGGAUUCUCUUUUUUUUUUUUACCAAAAGAGGUAUUCUCUUAAAACUGAAUGCUAAAGGAGUGAAACUCGAUCUCGAAGUACAAAAAAUGUGUUAGAUGGUUAAAACAUAUGAAUAUGAUGAAAAGUGUUCCCAGAAACAGAUGAGUUUUCCGAAUAUGUUGAUAUACGAACUGUUAGUUUCAUUGGUGUUGGAAUUAGCACAAUGGACAUAUCUUAUCAUAUUCAUCAUAUUACAUACCAUCGCUAAAAAAUAAUAUCUGAAGAUUGUAAUGGUGAUGAAAUAUAAUACUUCUAUAUAAAACUCUUAAUGCUGGCUUUUUUCAAAUGGUUUCACGUAUUAACAUGUGUUUGUUGUAUGUUACAUUUGUUUUUGUAAUAGGCUUACAUUAGAAUGUAACAUUCUUCGUACAUCAAUUUCAAAAUUUGAAAAAGUUACAUCACUAGGAAAUUGUAAACGAGGGAGAAUCUUAGGAGGACAAAAACAGUUGCUAUGAUCCAUCACAACCUUAACCAGGGCUGGCUUUUGACGUGUGCGGACGUAGUGAUUGCACAAGAUCCCUCAAGUUUUUUUUUUGCAAAUUUCCUUUAUACAUGAGGGUCCUAGAAUUUUAAUUUCUUGCAAGCAAAGGCCCUAAAUUUUUUAUUUGUGCAAGAAAAGAACCUAAAAUUUUUGAUUUUGCACUGGGCUUAUAUACGUUUUGAGCUGCCCCUGACCUCAACAUCUUCAAGUGUAUCACUCGUUUGUCUGUGCGUGCGUUUACGAAGGGUAGUUAGGUCUCGAAAAAAAAGUGGGAGACAUUAAGACCAUCUCCAUUGGAGUCCUUAGCAAUAUAAUAAUAUUUUUUUUGUUUUUUUUUAAUAGUUAAGGACUCUAAUCUUAAUUGUAUGUCCAAUGGUGUUAUCUAUUAUGGAAUCUUUAGUUU
Brassica napus (rape) is the source of this 3926-nucleotide long non-coding RNA. RefSeq lists it as uncharacterized. The record is from RefSeq and is a predicted model, not a curated record. The transcript has 2 exons. NCBI's taxonomy places the organism in Eukaryota, Viridiplantae, Streptophyta, Magnoliopsida, Brassicales, Brassicaceae.